CGCACAUUGCGCCCUUUGGUAUUCCGAGGGGCAUGCCUGUUCGAGCGUCAUUUAAACCAUCAAGCGCGGCUUGGCUUUGGACCCGGGCACCUGCUGCCCGGUCCGAAACCCCGGUUGGCGUUCCCGUCGAGCUCCGAGCGUAGCAAGAACUACUCCCUCGCUCUGGAGCCCUCUGGCGGGAGCCGCCCUGAAAACCACACCGACAGUUUGACCUCGGAUCAGGUAGGGAUACCCGCUGAACUUAA
This 245-nucleotide unclassified non-coding RNA is filed under the name Dothideomycetes sp. RNAcentral's name for it is "partial contains 5.8S ribosomal RNA, internal transcribed spacer 2, and large subunit ribosomal RNA". Lineage: Eukaryota; Fungi; Ascomycota; Dothideomycetes. The record is from RNAcentral.